RNAcentral lists this transfer RNA (67 nucleotides) under Leuctra fusca. RNAcentral describes it as "tRNA-Trp". Lineage: Eukaryota; Metazoa; Arthropoda; Insecta; Plecoptera; Leuctridae. The record is from RNAcentral.
AAGGCUUUAAGUUAAAUAAACUCAUAGCCUUCAAAGCUGUAAAUAAAGGGCACACCUUUAAGCUUUA